This 433-nucleotide ribosomal RNA is filed under the name uncultured bacterium. RNAcentral describes it as "partial 16S ribosomal RNA". It matches the Rfam family "Bacterial small subunit ribosomal RNA", at positions 29 to 507 of the family's 1533-position model. The record is from RNAcentral.
AGCGAACGCUGGCGGCAGGCCUAACACAUGCAAGUCGAACGAACUCUUCGGAGUUAGUGGCGGACGGGUGAGUAACACGUGGGAACGUGCCUUUAGGUUCGGAAUAACUCAGGGAAACUUGAGCUAAUACCGGAUGUGCCCUUCGGGGGAAAGAUUUAUCGCCUUUAGAGCGGCCCGCGUCUGAUUAGCUAGUUGGUGAGGUAAAGGCUCACCAAGGCGACGAUCAGUAGCUGGUCUGAGAGGAUGAUCAGCCACAUUGGGACUGAGACACGGCCCAAACUCCUACGGGAGGCAGCAGUGGGGAGUAUUACGCAAUGAGCGAAAGCCUGACGCAGCCAUGCCGCGUGAAUGAUGAAGGUCUUAGGAUUGUAAAAUUCUUUCACCGGAGACGAUAAUGACGGUACCCGGAGAAGAAGCCCCGGCUAACUUCGUG